UUUGGUUUGUUACGUGUGGUUGGCUGCGGCGUUUGCAACAACUUCCAUGCUCUCAGACCUCUUCAGUUGUGCGGCAAGGCUUGUAUCGCCUUGAGCGUAUCGUGGGUUUUCUGUGUUGGCUACCUAAUCGACGGUAUCGUUUGGACUGAUCAAAGUGUGAUUUCGUCUUCCGUCGCGUUUGCGGCGUGAGGUGAACCUUGACGCGGUCUCUUUGAUCCAUCUCGUCGAAGCACAUGCUUUGACGUUGUGGCACAUUGAGCAUUGCUUGGUCUCUUGUGUACGGAACACGUAGCGGGCAUGGAUCUAACGAUUCUUGUUUGCCCUCAUAUUAGCGUAACGCUUCUCAAACACGACUUGCAUCGCGUUUUAG
Molecule: unclassified non-coding RNA, 370 nt
Filed under: Artemisia desertorum
Lineage: Eukaryota; Viridiplantae; Streptophyta; Magnoliopsida; Asterales; Asteraceae
Description: partial external transcribed spacer
Source: RNAcentral